Molecule: long non-coding RNA, 1496 nt
Organism: Astatotilapia calliptera (eastern happy)
Lineage: Eukaryota; Metazoa; Chordata; Actinopteri; Cichliformes; Cichlidae
Source: Ensembl
AAAAAACAUCAGACAAAAGGACAGAGAGUGAAAGUGAGGCUGUCUUUGGAAGUACAGGUGUUCAUGUUGACAGUGAUUUCUGCCUUUGUAGAGAGAGACACACAUUCAUCAUGUUGCUCUCUGAGACAUCUUUGGUGCUGCUGAUGGUUUGCGGCACUCAGGCUUCACAUUUUUUAGGCACAGUCAUGACCUACUACCCAAAGGACACUUUUGCAGAUGGAUCUGUCACAGUGACUCUUCGGUAUAAGUUGAACUUCCACGACUGCACAUCUGAUAACAUAUGGAGUUGCCUCAGUGGUGAUUGUGGGACUGGAACCUACACACUACAUGUGGUAAAACAGGAGAGCAGCGGAGACUGGUGUCAGAGAGAGGGAAUCAUGACUCGACGGGUUUCCAGCAACGCUCUGUUCGAGCUUUGGUUGAAUAGUGGUAACUGGAUAUCAAACAUCAAUAACAUCAUAUACUGGAGAGCUGUGACUCGGGUGGAACUGAGGAACCGGUCCGACACCGGCAAAGCCAACACAUCACCUCAGACCACCAUCCUACCAGCUGUGAGAGUUCCUUCAAACUGUCAGAGAGAUUUCAGCCUGUUGAUGUUUGACCCUGAUGGAGACGAAGUUAAAUGCAGAUAUGGAAACUCUGCACUCUCAGAGUGUAACCCCUGCACUCCACCCUCUGUCCUCAGCCUCUCAUCGUCGUCUUGUACUCUGUCAUUCAGCCCCACCAGCAGCAGUAAUGAAGGUUCGUAUGUAGUACAGCUGGUGAUGGAGGACUUCCCCAGACAGACCAUCACUCUGACUCAAACCAACGGGACACAAACAAUAAUAACUACCAACGAUGCCAUCAGCAAAAUACCGAUUCAGUUUGCUUUGAAAGUUGAUCCUGCAGUGCCAUCCUGCACAGAAGGACUCUUUCUGCCCAAGUUUCUUCCUCCAACACCAGCCAACGGAGCUCAGCUCUACAACAAUGUCAGUCAGACUCUGGAAAUUAACAUCAAUGCAGAGGCACUUAACUCCACGAUCUCUGAGCUGCUCUACAGCGGGCCGUACAAUUUAAUCAGUAGUACAUCAGGACCUGGACAGUUCAUCCUGAGAUGGACACCAUCUGAAAGUGAAGAUGGACAAACCCUCCCCAUCUGUUUUGUUGUCCAGGCAGUUUUCAGUGGGACCAAGUAUCACUCAGAGCUUCGAUGUGUCGCUGUGACUGUUGCAAACGGACCAAUAAUAACCACAACAACUACCACCAGUACUCCAACUACUGUACCUGCAACAACUACCACCAGUACUCCAACUACUGUACCUGCAACAACUACUACCAGUACUACAACUACUCCAACUACAACAACUACUACCAGUACUACAACUACUGUACCUGCAACAACUACUACCAGUACUACAACUACUCCAACUACAACAACUACUACCAGUACUACAACUACUGUACCUGCAACAACUACUACCAGUACUACAACUACUCCAACUACUCCAACUAUUACC